This is a long non-coding RNA of Callithrix jacchus (white-tufted-ear marmoset), 1567 nucleotides long. NCBI's taxonomy places the organism in Eukaryota, Metazoa, Chordata, Mammalia, Primates, Cebidae. The record is from Ensembl.
GCCUUUUAUGAAAAAAGAAUGUCACUAAUGCAGAACUUGGGCACAGCAUUCUUCAAGCCUCCCUGAUUAGCCAGCAAUAGUCAGGGAAAGUCCAGGACCCCAUCUCCUGACCUUUGCGGAGCUCCUAGAGCACCCUGUCCUCCCUGCCGCCUUGCCAUCUGUCAGAGGACAGGCUCCAUGCUGUCUUGGUACGUAAGGGAAUAGCAUAGUAACACUGUCAAAUGAGCAAUGGGACAAGAGGCAGCUGGUGAUAAUUCUUGCCUUAGACUUUUGGCUCCCUGGGUUUCUGUCACGAGGACUAUCAUGUUCAGGAGGAUUUACUCACUAGGUAUCUGCUUCUCAAGCUCAUGGGAUGAAAAUCUGAAGGAGUCAUUUAAGUCACAGUUUUACCAAAUGGGGUUUCACCAUGUUGUCCUGGUUGGUCUCAAACUCUUGAGUUCAAGGGAUCCACCCACCUCGGCCUCUUAAGUGCUGGGAUUACAGGCCUGAGCCCCUGCUCUUUGCCAGUAUCCUUGUUUUUAACUGUUGUGGCUUGCUGAAUUAAAGCUGCUGAAUUUGAAACAAGUUCAAUACCAUUUCCUUCAAGGACGAACUCAUCUUUCUGGGGCUUGAGAUACUGAAUGAGCAACAUGUGGCCUCAUCCAAACCCUGCACAUGUAUUUUUCACCUAAGAAAUUUCAGAUUUCAGCAAGAGACUCCUGGCUAACAGUAUUGAUGGGGAAGUCAGCACGCACAGCCCUGUCACAACAGAAGGCGCAUGCAGCACCCUGGGUCAUGCUCUGUUUAUGACUACAAAAAGUGCCAAUGGUAGCCAGCUACUUUCUACCUCCCCGCACUUUGUCAACCUAGAGCCUCUUCUUUUCCUGUCUAAGGAGGCUGAAUUCUCCGCUGAUGUAACUGAAGUCCCUCCACAGGGUUCCUCUGGGCCCUUCACAAUAACCGUGUCCCUUCAGAGUGAUAUUGACAUCUUGGAAAUGGCAACAGUCUGAUUGCUAAGAAUGGUCUUCACUCUCACAGUAGAUGUGACAAAGAGAGUCAUGUAUUUUUUGAUGCUAUUACCAGGGCACAGAACUGACUUUCUUUUUCUCUUCAAUGUCUUACUUCUUCUAUCCCUCUUUCGAUAUUCACAGAAAAUUCAGAACUAGUGUCCUGGUUUAAUUUGAGUUUUUUUGUUUUUUUUUGUUUGUUUGUUUGAAACAGACUCUUGCUCUGUCCCUCAGGCUGGAAUACAGUGGUGCGCUCUCAGCUCACUGCAACCUCUGCUUCCUGGGUUCAAGCAAUUCUCCUGCCUCAGCCCCUGAGUAGCUGGGAUUACAGGCAUGUGCCACGACACCUGGCUAUUUUUAUAUUCUUAGCAGAGACUGGGUUUCACUACGUUGGCCAGGAGGGUCUUGAACUCCUGACCUCAAGUGAUCCACCUGCCUCAGCCUCCCAAAGUGCAGGGAUUAUAGGCCUAAUCUGAGUUAUUUCCAAGAUUUCUGUUUCUGAUUUUCUUUGAUGCCUCCUCCCCAAACCUAAGAUUGAAACAUAAAUUCUGUGGCUGCAGAUUCAUGAGAUGAAUAAAACA